RNAcentral lists this ribosomal RNA (463 nucleotides) under uncultured bacterium. Its description in RNAcentral is "bacterial SSU rRNA". It matches the Rfam family "Bacterial small subunit ribosomal RNA", at positions 331 to 792 of the family's 1533-position model. The record is from RNAcentral.
CCAGACUCCUACGGGAGGCAGCAGUGAGGAAUAUUGGUCAAUGGUCGGGAGACUGAACCAGCCAAGCCGCGUGAGGGAUGAAGGUACAGGGUAUCGUAAACCUCUUUUGUCAGGGAACAAAGGCGGGGACGUGUCCCCGGAUGAGUGUACCUGAAGAAAAAGCAUCGGCUAACUCCGUGCCAGCAGCCGCGGUAAUACGGAGGAUGCGAGCGUUAUCCGGAUUUAUUGGGUUUAAAGGGUGCGCAGGCGGUCUGUAAGGCCGGGGGAAAACGCGCGGGCCCACCCCCCGCCCCGCCGUUGAAACUGGCAGUCUCGAGUUGGAGAGAAGUAUGCGGAAUGCGCGGUGUAGCGGUGAAAUGCAUAGAUAUCACGCAGAACUCCGAUUGCGAAGGCAGCAUACCGGCGCCCAACUGACGCUGAAGCACGAAAGCGUGGGUAUCGAACAGGAUUAGAUACCCUUGUA